Oryctolagus cuniculus (rabbit) is the source of this 164-nucleotide small nuclear RNA. Its record names the gene U1. It matches the Rfam family "U1 spliceosomal RNA". From Rfam's summary of the family: U1 is a small nuclear RNA (snRNA) component of the spliceosome (involved in pre-mRNA splicing). Its 5' end forms complementary base pairs with the 5' splice junction, thus defining the 5' donor site of an intron. Lineage: Eukaryota; Metazoa; Chordata; Mammalia; Lagomorpha; Leporidae. The record is from Ensembl.
AUAUUUACCUGGCAGGGGAGACACCAUGAUCACGAAGGUGGCUUUCCCAGGGCGAGGCUCAUCCAUUGCACUCCGGAUGGGCUGACCCCUGCGAUUUCCCCAGAUGUGGGAAACUCGACUGCAUAAUUUGUGGCAGUGGGGGACUGCAUUCGUGCUUUCCCCUG